CUUAAUUUUACUCACUGAGAAUUGAUGGGAUAUUGAAAGCGGACUCCACAUGACAGGUGGUUGGAAGUGAAGGGUUAAAAAAAGUGCAGAAAUGUAAUCACAAGAAUAAAAUUGUAAACAUGUUUUGCUAGAUUUACAAAGAUUUUCAAUGCUGUCUUGGGUUGGGGUUAUCCAAAUGUAAUAUGGGGAGAUCGUCUCAGAGGGAGCUUUCCGUUCAAGAGUUGCUAUGGAAACACUUCCAUGGUAUAUUAUCCGAGUCAUGACCACUCUCCCACGCAUCAGCCAGCCUACAGUACCCAUAAUCACUGCUGUCUAGGAUAAACUCCACCCACACUGGGUAAAACCAGGUUAACAUACAUACAUAAGCAGAGCAUGUGCAUAUUACGAUCAUGUGUUUAUGACGCGUGUCCAUUUGUAGUACCCUAACCUAAGUGCAGAUCAAGUGGUCUGCUGUGUGUCUAAGUACACUGCGUUUCUGAAGUUAAAAUGAUGGUAUUGUGUGUGUUUUUAUGUUUGGGUGAAUGAACGCUUUCUCCUCAAAAGCAGAUGGAGCUUUCCGGGGAUCAUAACUUUUCGCGUGUUCCUAAGAAACUUUUCAAAGCAGCUGAAAAAUGCAGCCAGGGGCUAGGGAAUGGUUUGCCUUUGUGUCUAUGUGGGUGUGCAUGUAAGGGCGAGUGUGUGUGGCCAGUCUUUGUGAUUAUGAACAGUCCUCCCCCAUUCCCAGAAGCCCCUGCUGUUCACAGUGUGUGUGUUUGAACUUCUGUGCGCGCCCACAGCUCCUCAUUUCCCAUAUCUUUGGGGACAAUCUCAAUUUUGCUGCGCAAAUAUAAAGAGAGAUAAGAAGUGGAGGAGAAAUACUUUGGAAACUUGGUCCGGCGUCAAGAACGUAUCUGCUUAACUACACUGCCCAUAAGCUGACUGGUCAAUAAAGCGUUCCAGCUGUGCUAAGCAAUGAUAUCAGUAACAGACACGAAACACCUGUUACCUAAAUCACUGCACAGGAAUACGCACAUGACCACAUACAGGAUUGCUAUUUUUGUAAGAUUCUACCUCAACAUGUUUAUAUCACUGUGUGUAUAUUUAUAUUUUAUAUUUAUAUUUAUACAGAACGUUAAGUUUGCACAGCUAUGUCUAGUCACUUACACUGUGUAUAAGGUUACUGCCUAUAAUUUGCUGCACGGUCCUCUGUGAAGAACUGCUAAAGUCUUUCGUUGUUUUUGCUGAAACAAAUGACAAUAAAGAUUUAUCUGCUAGUGGAAUGAUAACAUUUCAUAAAAACGGGUGUUGUUAACUUUUUUCAGCUUUCUAUGUAACGUGACUAAAUAAAUAAACUAAUUAAACUACCCCCCCAAAUGUAAUCUAAAUGUUUUCAUUAAAUCAAUGUUUUAAUAUGUUUGUUUGAAUGCUGUUAAAGGGGACAUUUCACAAGACCUUUUUAAGGAAAAAAAACUUUUAAAAAGUCUCUGGUGUCUCCAGAGUAUGUAUGUGAAGUUUUAGCCCAAAAUAUCAUAUAGAUAAUUCAUUAUAUCCUGUUAAAAUUGACACUUUGUAGGUGUGAGCAAAAAUGUGCUGUUUUUGGGUGUGUCCUUUAAAAUGCAAAUGAGCUGAUCUCUGCACUAAAUGGCAGUGUCGUGGUUGGAUAGUGCAGAUUAAGGGGCGGUAUUAUCCCCUUCUGACAUCACAGGGGGAGCAAAAUUUCAAUGACCUAUUUUUUCACAUGCUUGCAGAGAAUGGUUUACCAAAACUAAGCUACUGGGUUGAUCUUAUUCACAUUUUUUAGGUUGAUAGAAGCACUGGGGA
Misgurnus anguillicaudatus (oriental weatherfish) is the source of this 1800-nucleotide non-coding RNA. NCBI's taxonomy places the organism in Eukaryota, Metazoa, Chordata, Actinopteri, Cypriniformes, Cobitidae. The record is from RefSeq and is a predicted model, not a curated record.